RNAcentral lists this ribosomal RNA (441 nucleotides) under Triticum aestivum (bread wheat). Its description in RNAcentral is "partial small subunit ribosomal RNA". The record is from RNAcentral. Lineage: Eukaryota; Viridiplantae; Streptophyta; Magnoliopsida; Poales; Poaceae.
AUGAAUCUCCUUGCUUGGAACAGUCGAGGAUUGGGGUUGGACUCGAUAGUGGGCGAACUGCGAGACCUCAUUAGGUCUCACAACCCAGCGGUGGUGUUCCUUUCAGAAAUAAAAAAAUUAGCUAGAGCUAUGGAACGGUUGAAAUGGAGUCUGGGAUUCACUAGUGGAGUUGCGGUGAGUUGCAAUGGAAGAAGUGGGGACUUGGCAUUGUGGUGGAGGGAUCAUAUUCAAGUUAUAGUGAGGCUGUGGUGCCAAUACUUUCUGGAUGUUGAGGUUGCUUGGGAGGGUAAACUCUAUAGGAUCACUGGAUUCUGUGGAGAACCCAAAACUGAAUUGAGGAAAAAUCAUGGGAUGCUAUUCGUUUUCUUCGGGACCAAGAUAAUCUACCCUGGCUCUGUGUCGGUGACUUUAACGAGGCCCUCUUCUGUACUGAUCAAGUGA